Poecilia reticulata (guppy) is the source of this 2004-nucleotide non-coding RNA. Lineage: Eukaryota; Metazoa; Chordata; Actinopteri; Cyprinodontiformes; Poeciliidae. The record is from RefSeq and is a predicted model, not a curated record.
GGGUUCUACCAGGUUCUGCUGGGUUCUACCAGGUUCUGCUGGGUUCUACCAGGUUCUGCCGGGUUCUACCAGGUCCUGCCGGGUUCUACCAGGUUCUGCUGGGUUCUGUCGGGUUCUACCAGGUUCUGCCGGGUUCUGCCGGGUUCUGCCAGGUUCUACCAGGUUCUGCCGGGUUCUGGGCCGUGACCCGGCCCGGUUCCACUCACACUAGCUCUCAGACUGCGGAGGUUGUCUCUGUUCUCUCUGCAGAUAUUUUUAGCUGGUUGCGUCAUUCGGCCUCCAGCGCUGAGGUUAGCGCCGCCGCCGCUGCUGCGCCUGAAGCUUCAUGAAGCUUCGCCCGCUCCAGGCUCCGCCCACAUCACCUGCAGCAGGUGCAGGUGAUGCAGCUGCACCUGCUGCAGAGGCGCCGCCGCGUUUCGCUCUGCGGCCGACUCAGAACCGUCCCGUUUGGGCCGCUGCUCCUCCUUACAGGCCGAGGCGAAGUGAGACUCUCAGAUUCCCACCAGCAGCAGCAGGUCAGAGUUUCUCAGCGCCUGUCUGAGCGCGACAGACCAAAAUAACCCGACGUUUUCACACCUCCUCUAGGUUGCAUGCCAUCACAGAAGAGGAAGGAAGGAGCCGGACGAGCCAGAGCCUCAGCAGCAGCAUCCUUAUCAGCAGCGUUAUCGUCCGGUUCUACACGCGAGGCUGCAGCAGGAGACGUGUCACUGCGGCGCAUUUCAUCUGACUUCUCUGUUUCACGGCUUCCAGCCAUCAUGGUGGCUCUGAGAGCAGAGGUCCAAACAGCAGCUGGCCUUUUCGCUGCAGCCGCUGCUUCCCCUGAGAACAAAACAACUUUUUUCCUCUUCAUUUAAACGCGUCGUGAAAACAUCACAGUUAUUUAUCAGCAGCAGCAGCAGCAAAUCUGGGAGCCGCUGAGAUUCUGACACUCAGAGCUGUGAAGCUUCGUGGCAGCAGAACGCUGCAGCCGGCCGCCACUUCCUGCUUCUGCUUUUACCAGGCACCGCAGGUAAAGUCCAGCUCGGCCCGUCAGAACCAACACCAAAUACACUCCACACUUUUCAGACAGAUUUCUAAACAAUAUCACGGGAAUCAUUUUCCCUUUUCAUCGUUCUGGAGGAAAACGGCAACUUUCAGGGUGGAAGCAGGUCUGCAUGCUGUUGCACCGAUGCUAACAGGAUUCCACGCGCCGCCGAGCAAUAACAGAUCAAUACCGCAGCUCUGAUUGAUUACCGCAGCUCGAGCUGCGGCGGAGCAGACGUGAACUCUCCUCAUGAACGCUGUCAGAUCUGGAUUAGACGAUGUAAACGCUUCAAACCUGGUUUCACGUCUGAAUCGUUUCGUCUCCAUGACGACAGCGGCGCGUCGGCCGCAGGAAGUGGCUGAAAACAUUUUACACAAUGAGGAUUAUGUUCUGCUCUGCUCCAUCUGCUGCUGCGGUGAAUCGUCAUGGUAACGGUGAGGCUGCAGUCAGAUGACUCUCUGCUGUAAUCUGUCAUGUAAUCUCAUCUGAAUCACCUGGCCGUUCUCGGCCAAUCGGAGCCCGGCUGGGCCUGGUACCGUCCGUCUACCUGCAGCUUGGCCUGGCCCACUUUCGGCUCUGCAGACGGUCAGCCAAUCAGAGGCCGUGUUGCUGUUGGGUGACCGCCCAGAGGAAAGCCUCAGACGGAUCUUCACCUUGUUGCCUCCAGGUGUGUUGGGGCAACGCCGCGGUGGACGGCAACCAGCAACCACCUGAGAGGAGCAACGCUGCUGCCCAUCAAGAGGUCAAAAGGUCGUCGUUAACCAGUUCAGGGCCGUCGUUCUGCACAGAGAAACGCUGCUCUCCAGUCGUCCGCUGGUUUAGUUGUUGAGCUAAACAUGUAGCAUGCUAACUAUGCUAACUAAGUGUUCAGCUCAAAGCUCAGUUUUUAUCUAAUUCUGAGUUAGAUAUUUAGGUUGAAGCUUAAUAUUUCAUUAAAAAACUCAAUAUAGAGUCAACAACUUAAACAUUUAGUUUAAAUG